Molecule: ribosomal RNA, 400 nt
Filed under: uncultured bacterium
Lineage: Bacteria
Description: bacterial SSU rRNA
Rfam family: Bacterial small subunit ribosomal RNA
Source: RNAcentral
UGGGGAAUAUUGCGCAAUGGGCGAAAGCCUGACGCAGCGACGCCGCGUGAAGGAUGAAGGUCUUCGGAUUGUAAACUUCUGUUAAGUGGGAAGAAAGAGUUUCGGUUAAUACCCGGAAAAGAUGACGGUACCACUAGAGAAAGCACCGGCAAACUUCGUGCCAGCAGCCGCGGUAAUACGAGGGGUGCAAACGUUGUUCGGAAUUACUGGGCGUAAAGAGCGUGUAGGCGGUUAAUUAAGUAAGUUGUUAAAUUCCUUGGCUUACCCAAGGGUGUGCGAUUUAAACUGGUUAGCUAGAGGGCAAGAGAGAGGUGUGGAAUUCUCGGAGUAGCGGUAAAAUGCGUAGAUCUCGAGAGGAACACCGAAGGCGAAGGCAGCACCUUGGCUUGACCCUGACGCU